AGGACGAACGCUGGCGGCGUGCUUAACACAUGCAAGUCGAGCGGUGAUCCUCCUUCGGGAGGUGAGCAGCGGCGAACGGGUGAGUAACACGUGGGCAACCUGCCCCUCACACUGGGAUAACCUCGGGAAACCGGGGCUAAUACCGGAUAUGACCUCGAGCGGCAUCUCUUGAGGUGGAAAGCUCCGACGGUGAGGGAUGGGCCCGCGGCCUAUCAGCUUGUUGGUGGGGUAAUGGCCUACCAAGGCGACGACGGGUAGCCGGCCUGAGAGGGCGACCGGCCACACUGGGACUGAGACACGGCCCAGACUCCUGCGGGAGGCAGCAGUGGGGAAUAUUGCGCAAUGGGCGAAAGCCUGACGCAGCGACGCCGCGUGAGGGAUGAAGGCCUUCGGGUUGUAAACCUCUUUCAGCAGGGACGAAGCGAAGUGACGGUACCUGCAGAAGAAGCACCGGCUAACUACGCGCCAGCAGCCGCGGUAA
Molecule: ribosomal RNA, 481 nt
Filed under: uncultured bacterium
Lineage: Bacteria
Description: SSU rRNA
Rfam family: Bacterial small subunit ribosomal RNA
Source: RNAcentral